GUAUACCUACGGGGGCAGCAGUGAGGAAUAUUGGUCAAUGGGCGCGAGCCUGAACCAGCCAAGUCGCGUGAGGGAUGACGGCCCUACGGGUUGUAAACCUCUUUUGCCGGGGAGCAACGGGCGCCACGUGUGGCGCCACUGAGAGUACCCGGAGAAAAAGCAUCGGCUAACUCCGUGCCAGCAGCCGCGGUAAUACGGAGGAUCCAAGCGUUAUCCGGAUUUAUUGGGUUUAAAGGGUGCGUAGGCGGAUUGAUAAGUUAGAGGUGAAAUGUCCGAGCUUAACUCGGGAACUGCCUCUAAUACUG
RNAcentral lists this ribosomal RNA (305 nucleotides) under uncultured bacterium. RNAcentral's name for it is "bacterial SSU rRNA". It matches the Rfam family "Bacterial small subunit ribosomal RNA", at positions 333 to 635 of the family's 1533-position model. The record is from RNAcentral.